AUGUGUUUAAGUAAAUGGGCUAUCAAGAAGAGUAAACAUGACUCAAGGGCUGUACUUCCUCUUCUGGGGAAGAUUAGUGCAUUUUCAGUUGUAC
Long non-coding RNA from Mustela erminea (ermine), 94 nucleotides. RefSeq lists it as uncharacterized. The transcript has 3 exons. Lineage: Eukaryota; Metazoa; Chordata; Mammalia; Carnivora; Mustelidae. The record is from RefSeq and is a predicted model, not a curated record.